CACGUAGGCGGCUUUGUAAGUUAGAGGUGAAAGCCCGGGGCUCAACCCCGGAAUUGCCUUUAAGACUGCAUCGCUUGAAUCCAGGAGAGGUGAGUGGAAUUCCGAGUGUAGAGGUGAAAUUCGUAGAUAUUCGGAAGAACACCAGUGGCGAAGGCGGCUCACUGGACUGGUAUUGACGCUGAGGUGCGAAAGCGUGGGGAGCAAACA
Molecule: ribosomal RNA, 207 nt
Filed under: uncultured bacterium
Lineage: Bacteria
Description: partial 16S ribosomal RNA
Rfam family: Bacterial small subunit ribosomal RNA
Source: RNAcentral